Potamilus streckersoni is the source of this 67-nucleotide non-coding RNA. NCBI's taxonomy places the organism in Eukaryota, Metazoa, Mollusca, Bivalvia, Unionida, Unionidae. The record is from the annotation of a GenBank genome assembly.
GUGGCCUAGUGGUUAAAGCGUCCGCCUCAGAUGCGGCAGGAAGUGGGUUCGAUCCCCGGCUGAGUCA